This 497-nucleotide ribosomal RNA is filed under the name uncultured bacterium. Its description in RNAcentral is "partial 16S ribosomal RNA". It matches the Rfam family "Bacterial small subunit ribosomal RNA", at positions 28 to 507 of the family's 1533-position model. The record is from RNAcentral.
GAUGAACGCCGGCGGCGUGCCUAAUACAUGCAAGUCGAGCGAACGGACGAGAAGCUUGCUUUUCUGAUGUUAGCGGCGGACGGGUGAGUAACACGUGGAUAACCUACCUAUAAGACUGGGAUAACUUCGGGAAACCGGAGCUAAUACCGGAUAAUAUUUUGAACCGCAUGGUUCAAAAGUGAAAGACGGUCUUGCUGUCACUUAUAGAUGGAUCCGCGCUGCAUUAGCUAGUUGGUAAGGUAACGGCUUACCAAGGCAACGAUGCAUAGCCGACCUGAGAGGGUGAACGGCCACACUGGAACUGAGAAGCGGUCCAGACUCCUACGGGAGACAGCAGUAGGGAAUCUUCCGCAAUGGGCGAAAGCCUGACGGAGCAACGCCGCGUGAGUGAUGAAGGUCUUCGGAUCGUAAAACUCUGUUAUUAGGGAAGAACAUAUGUGUAAGUAACUGUGCACAUCUUGACGGUACCUAAUCAGAAAGCCACGGCUAACUACGUG